AUUAAAAUCUAAUCAAAUUCUAUUAAAAUCUUAAUCAAAUCUUAAAAAUUCCUAAUCAAAUCCUAAUCAAAUCUUAAAAAUAUCCUUAUCAAAUUCUAAACAAAUUCUAACCAAAUCAUAAUUAAAUCUUAAUCAAACCUUAAAUAAAACAUAAAAAAAUCCUAAAAAAAUCUUAAACAAAUCCUAAACAAAUCAUGACCAAAUCCUAAACAAAUCCUAACCAAAUCUUAAAUAAAUCCUAAUCAAACUCUAAACAAAUCCUAACCAAAUCCUAAUCAAAUUCUAAAUAAAUCUUAACCAAAUCUUAAAUAAAUCCUAAUCAAAUUCUAAAAAAAUUCCAAUCAAAUCCCAAACAAACUUUCAUCA
RNAcentral lists this long non-coding RNA (366 nucleotides) under Physcomitrium patens. RNAcentral's name for it is "long non-coding RNA (PPAT_LNC001038)". Lineage: Eukaryota; Viridiplantae; Streptophyta; Bryopsida; Funariales; Funariaceae. The record is from RNAcentral.